UCUGCCCGCUGGCGGCGUGCCUAAUACAUGCAAGUCGAGCGAACGGACGAGAAGCUUGCUUCUCUGAUGUUAGCGGCGGACGGGUGAGUAACACGUGGAUAACCUACCUAUAAGACUGGGAUAACUUCGGGAAACCGGAGCUAAUACCGGAUGAUAUUUUGAACCGCAUGGUUCAAAAGUGAAAGACGGUCUUGCUGUCACUUAUAGAUGGAUCCGCGCUGCAUUAGCUAGUUGGUAAGGUAACGGCUUACCAAGGCAACGAUGCAUAGCCGACCUGAGAGGGUGAUCGGCCACACUGGAACUGAGACACGGUCCAGACUCCUACGGGAGGCAGCAGUAGGGAAUCUUCCGCAAUGGGCGAAAGCCUGACGGAGCAACGCCGCGUGAGUGAUGAAGGUCUUCGGAUCGUAAAACUCUGUUAUUAGGGAAGAACAUAUGUGUAAGUAACUGUGCACAUCUUGACGGUACCUAAUCAGAAAGCCACGGCUAACUACGUG
RNAcentral lists this ribosomal RNA (497 nucleotides) under uncultured bacterium. RNAcentral describes it as "partial 16S ribosomal RNA". It matches the Rfam family "Bacterial small subunit ribosomal RNA", at positions 34 to 507 of the family's 1533-position model. The record is from RNAcentral.